CCGCCUCCACCACCACCUCCACCGCCGGCUGUCGAACCGGUACCCGCCCCGGCUGCCGAACCGGUACCCGCCCCUCCUCAUCUGUAUGUCCAGUUUACGAUUGAGGAUUUACUAGCCUUACCGGGACGGGGGGCUUUACGACGUCUGGUUCCCGGAAAAGCGGAACCAGGCUCUUAUUGGUAAGUAAACUUUUUUGUUUUUUUAUAGUUUUUAAAUUAACGCUUUAAUUUACUUAAAUAUUAAUGUAAUAAUUUUUUUUUUUGGUUUCAUAGGUUUACUUUGGAUAAUUGUGUCGGGCGGAGCGUUUCCGACACAAUUAAGAGUCAUUUCGUGGAGCACGUCAAUUGGAGCAAGGUGUCGCAAGAGACGUGCGACACCUGGUACAAGUGCUUCGCGGUAAUAUUUUUAAAAUCUUAUUUAUAUCAUUUUAAAUUGUUUUAAAUUUAAUUAAUCUUACUUUUAUAUUGUUUAUCUAAUUUUUUGUUUUCUUUUGCAGCAACGGUGGAACUGGGACAUCGGGAUCAACGAGACGGUCCGCGAAGCUUUCGAGGAAAAGGCGAAGAAACGCCUAGUCAACACCGUUUCCGAUUGGAAGCGGAAAUGGGAGACCGACGGCGACGACGCAAAGCCGAGCUCCAUGUCCACUUGGUGUUGGAACGGGUUGAAGGCGUAUUGGGUGGACCCGCAUGCCCAAACCACCGCUGCUAAGUGUUCGGCCGUCCGAAACCGGGUCGAUCCGGUGACUGGUGAGAAGUUAGUGAACCCGUACACUUCUGGCCAAAUAUCUUUUACGGGAAGACGUCUCAUGAUGGUAAGUAAUUAAAUAUAAAUUAUUUCAUUAUUAUUUUAAUUUUAUUUAUUGCUAGAAUUAAUUAAAUAUUUUUGACUAAUAAUGUUUAUUAAUUGGUAGGCCGAGGAGAACGGAGGAGAACUACCUCCAAUGACGAAGCUCUUCGAGACCACUCACCGGAAGAAGGACGGGAGCUUUGUCGACGCUCGGUCCGAGGAGAUCUACAAUGCCGCUUGCAGCGGAUCGCCGAGCGGGAGACCCAGGCCACACCUGACGGUACUAUCCAAGUACCGUUGACCGUCGCUGAGCAAGACCAGAUUUUCGAAGAGGUAUGAUAUCUAUUUCAAUUUUUUAAAAAUUUAUUAUAUUUAUAAUUACUUAAUAAAUAAUUAACGUUUUUAUUUUCCAUUUGUAGGUUGCUCCGAAGAAGAAGGGCCGAACCUUAGGGAUGGGCUCUAUUAGAGAUUGUCCUGCCGCCACGGCUUCCGGAUUCCGCACGCAGGAUCCGCAGCUUCGCCAGGAGCUUGCUACGGCCAAUGCUGAGAUCACCAGUCUCAGGCAUGAGCAAAUGGCCCAGAAGCAGGAGCUCACCGAGAUACAUGAUCUCUUCGACAUCAUUGCGGAAGCGGUUCCGCAGUUGGCCACCGCAAUCCGAGCGAGGCAACAGCGAGCACGGAGGGUUUUUGAGACCGGUGGUAAUUCCGGUACUGGACCAUCGGACCACCAGACGCAGGGCGGUCAGUCUUCGGCUCCGGUCUCAGCAGCGACGGGCGGUCAGACUUCGGCUCCGGUAGUGCAUACGGGAAACGUCGGCCUAGCAGCGACGGGCGGCCAAGACGGAGAGCCUCCUCGUGACGUCGAUCUCAACCUCGACGAUUACGACAUCAUUGUAUAGAUUAGGUUUUUUUGUAAAAAACAAUUUGUAUUAAUUUUUUUUAUUUAUAAAUUAUUUUUGAAUUUAAAUUUCAAUUUAAAUUCAAAUUUUUUCUAUUUUUAAUUUUUUGAUUAUUUUAAAAAUUCAUUAAUUAAAUAAAAUCGAAUUAAAUAAUUAAUUUAUAAAUCGACGUAAAUUCGUCGUAAAUUUACGUCGAUUUACCGUCGAAUAUUUAACGACGAAUUUACGACGAAUAAGUUUACGUCGGCUUUACGUCGAAACUUUACGACGAUUUAACAUCGACAAUUAAAAAUUUAGUUUCCCUUAAUUGAAAUUGUUCGUCUCCUAAUCGUUGUUAAAUCGAUGUAAUUUUACAUCGAUUUAACGUUGUUUUUAUGAUGGAGUUCUUUCGUUGUACAUCCGUUGGAAAUUUUACGACGCAUUUACGACGAAUUGUUCCCGACGAUUUUACGACAAUUUUCCGGAGUUGGUAAUUUUACGACGAUUUUACGACGAUUUCGGUUUUACGACGAUCGUUUUACGACGAUUUUUAAUUUGUCGUUAAUCCGACGUAAAUGCUCUUUUACGUCGAUUUUACGUCGAUAUCUGCCGACGUAAAAGCCGAUCUUUCUUGUAGUGAAGACCCAAGACCCAAGACCCAAGACCCGAGCCCGGCUCGGCUCGGCGGCGGCGGCGGCGCGCGAGGGGUCCUUGGUUCUCCUUCACACACUUUGAACUAUGUCAUGUGUGUGUCUAUAUUUAUAUGACUAGAAAAUUUUCCAAUCCUCCAAUGUGGGACAAAAUGAUGUUCCUCACAAUUUAAGUUGCCUUGAAGGGCUUUAUUUUUAUUCACACUUGACCAAAUUUUAAAGCCUUUGGGCUUUGUAAUAAUUUGGGUCCAACAAUCCCCCACAUGAAUAGAAAUAACUCUAGACAUACGACCGGACUGACUCGAAGACUGGACUCGACUAGACUAAACUAAACGGACUUUCGAGAGUAUAAACGAAAAUUCCACUGUGUUUGAGAUAGUAGUAUGUUUCAACCUUGAACCACUCAAUGUUAAUAUCUGUCGGGCUUACUCAGCUAGAAGGUGAACAUGAUGUCUUGAACCACCCGAAUUUUGAUGUAAACCGAGACAACAAAUACAACUCAGUUUCAUUUUCUCGUAGAACUAUGUUCUCUAUUGUGUUCAUUUUGGCCUUGAACUUGCCUGGUUAAUCAUGAGUGAAGUUGGAGAAUAUAGCCUUUUGUUUUUCCAUUCUCAUAGAAACGGCCCCAUUUCACACUCACUAGGUGAUUUGCCAGUAGUCUUUGUUUUAAGAAGUGUUGUACUUCACUGAUAUAUCAAAGCUACGGUCUUCUCAUUAACAGCUUUGCUUAUCCUUUGAAAAUAUACAAUGAAAAUUGUAUGUAAGCACUGUCAAUCAUCUUGGGACCUAGGUUAAGACUAUACGUCUUUCAGUGCUUUAGAUUUUGUUUGAUUUAGUUUUCCCUUUUGAACCAUACAUCUUGAGAUCUCCAGUCAUGUAGGUGGGGUUUCCAUCAAACAACCUCUUUAGUCAUAGGCUUUAAACCCAUUCCCUUUGACGAUUUGAGAACUUGAUCACGAGCUAGACCCUUAGUGAAUGGAUCUGCUAGAUUAUCAGCUGAUUUUAUGUAAUCUAGUGAGAUUACUCCGGUUGUGAUCAAGCUUCUAAUGGAUUUAUGUCGCUUUCUUAUGUGACGAGAUUUACCAUUAUAGAGAUUAUUUAGUGCCCGGGCGAUAGCUGAUUGACUAUCACAGUGUACACGUAUUGCCGGGACUGGUUUCUCCCACAUUGGAAUAUCUUCCAAGAAAUUUCGGAGUCAUUCGGCCUCCUCUGCAGCUUUAUCUAAAGCUAUAAAUUCAGACUCCAUGGUUGAUCGGGCCAGUAGAGUUUGUUUGGAAGACUUCCAAGAGACUGCUGCACCAGCAAGGGUAAAGACAUAUCCACUUGUGGAUUUUGAGUUUUUGGUGUCAGAUAUCCAGUUUGCAUCACUGUAUCCUUCCAAAACUGCGGGUUCUCUCCCAUAGUGCAGCCCAUAACUUUUAGUGUAUCGAAUGUAAUUUAAUACUCUAGUUAUGGCUUUCCAGUGUUUGUGUCCUGGAUUAUUUGUAUAGCGACUAAGUACAUUUACCGCGUGUGCUAGAUCAGGUCUAGUACAAUUGGUUAAGUACAUAAGGCUACCAAUUAUCCUUGCAUACUCGACUUGUGACACUGCUUCACCUGAGUUUUUGGUCAAGUGAAGUUGAGAGUCAACAGGAGUUUUUGCAGUUCCAUUUGAAUAGGUUUUAAACCGUUCAAGUAUCUUUUCAGCAUAAUGUGCUUGAGACAAGGUAAUCCCAUCAGAAGUUCUUGUGAUUUGUACCCCAAGAAUGACAUCUGCUAGACCCAUGUCUUUCAUGUCAAACUGUGCACUAAGCAUAUUCUUAGUUUGUUGGAUUAUGUCAUUAUUGCUGCCAAUAAUUAACAUGUCAUCUACAUAUAAACAUAGUAGGAUAUAUCCAUUAGGGGUCGUUUUUAUGUAAAUGCAUUUAUCACAUUCGUUUAUGCUGAAGCCAUCUGACAUCAUCGCAUUGUCAUAUUUUUCAUGCCAUUGUUUUGGUGCUUGUUUAAGUCCAUACAACGACUUCACAAGUCUACAGACUUUGUGUUCUUGUCCCGGGACUACAAAUCCUUCGGGUUGUUUCAUAUAGAUUUCCUCGUCUAAUUCACCGUUUAGAAAGGCUGUUUUGACGUCCAUCUGGUGGAUUUCCAAAUUUCGUAAGGCUGCAAUUCCAAUCAGCAUUCUGAUGGAAGUUAUUCUCAUUACUGGAGAAUAAGUGUCAAAGAAAUCCAGACCUUCUUUUUGUCGGAAUCCUUGCACUACAAGUCUAGCCUUAUAUUUAUCAACUGAGCCAUCGGUCUUCAAUUUCGUUUUGAAGAUCCAUUUACACCCUAGAGCUUUAAACCCUUCAGGUAACUCAGUGAUUUCAUAAGUAUGAUUCCGUCUAAUGGAAUCCAUCUCACUAUUGACUGCUUCCUCCCAAAGAGGUGCAUCGGGAGUGGACAUAGCUUCAGUAAAUGUUCUUGGUUCGUUUUCGGUGAGAAAGACCAUCAAGAACUCAGGACCGAAGGAUUUUUCCUUACGAGCUCUUUUGCUGCGUCUAGGUUCUAUCUCUUCGUCUUCUGAAGCAGGAACCCCAGAUGUGGUUGCCACAUCUUCCAGAGGACGUUUUAGAUUUUGUCUAUCCUUGCACGGGAAAAUGUGUUCAAAAAAUGAAACAUUUCUUGAUUCCAUUAUUGUAUUCACCUGAAUAUCGGGUACAUCUAAUUUGUGAACCAGAAACCGAUAAGCACUACUGUUGCGUGCAUAUCCAAUGAAAAUACAAUCAACAGUUUUUGGUCCUAUGGUGACCUUUUUAGGUGGUGGCACAGCGACCUUUGCUAAGCACCCCCACACUCUCAUGUAUUUGUACGAAGGUACUCUACCUGUCCAUAGUUCAUAUGGCGUUUUGCCAGUUACUUUGUGCGGUAUUUUGUUGAGGAUAUAGUUUGUAGUGAGAAUUGCUUCCCCCCACAGAUUCUGGGGUAGCCCAGAUUCCUGCAACAUUGCAUUCAUCAUCUCUUUAAGAGUUUGAUUUUUGCGUUCCGCAAUUCCAUUAGAUUCUGGUGAGUAGGGAGCGGUGGUCUGAUGUAUAAUGCCUUUUUCUAGACAGAAAACAUUGAAUGGACCAUCAUAUUCGCCUCCUCUAUCACUCCUAACAAUUUUAAUAGUUUUACCGAGUUGAUUUUCAACUUCGAUUUUAUAUUCUUUGAAUUUCUCCAAGACUUCAUCUUUACUUCUUAGUAAAUAGAUGUAACAGUAUCUUGUACAAUCAUCAAUGAAAGUUACAAAAUACUUCUUACCUCCUCUAGAUUUUACUAACUUUAAGUCGCACAAAUCUGUGUGUAUGAGGCCUAGAGGUUCGGUAGUUCGAUCGACAUGAGGAGAUGGAGUUUUUGUGAGUUUUUGUACGCAUGUCUCACAUUUAUUUUUGCUUAUUUUGCAUUUGGGGAUUAAGUUCGAAUUUAUUAAUCUUUGUAUAGAUUUAUAAUUCACAUGUCCUAAUCGUUCAUGCCAUAAAUCAAAAGACUCAACCAAGUAAGAAGAUUCAUUCUUAUUAAUUGACCUGGUAGAAGGUACAUCAUUUUUGAGGACAGUCAUUACACACAUUUUGAUUAAGUCCUCCUUAACAUAACCCUUCCCAAUAAAAACCCCAUGUUUCCUUAAAAUCAGCUGGUUAGAUCCAAUGCGGACGUCGAAUCCGUGCUUGUUGAUCAUGGUUCCAGAGAUCAGGUUUUUCCUCAUUUUUGGCACAUGCUUCACAUUGGUGAGGGUGACUUCUUUUCCCGAAGUCAUCUUUAAGACCACAUUGCCUAUGCCUUCAAUCUUGGAGUAUGACUCAUUUCCCAUCAACAAGUGCGCAUUGUUCUUGCAUUUCUUGUAGGUUGAGAACUGGUCUUUGUCCAUGCAGAUGUGAGUGGUUGCACCAGUGUCAUACCACCACGUUUUUGGGUUUGGCUCAACCAUGUUGACUUCUGUGACCAUUGCACACAGAUCAGCUUGAGUCAAGUUGGCUUGUCCUUUGUUGUCCCUCAGCCUGCUUCGACAUUCAUUGGAGGUGUGGCCCUUCUUGUUGCAAUAGGUGCACUUCCCAACAAAUUUGGUUUUGGGAGUUUCCUUUUUGAAGGAAGUGGAUGAUGAUGGAGCAAACUUGUUUUGCCUUCCUUUGGGAGGAAAUUUCCCGUUGCCUUUGACUUUCCCUUUUCCCUUGUUCUUGAACUCUGCUACAUUUGCAUUGUAGGAGUGAAAUGGUUCAGGGUUGACAGGCGUGGCAGCUUUUACCUCGCGUUUCAAAGACUCAUUUUGCAGCCUGGAAAUCAGAUUUGACAAGGUCAUAGACUUCUGCUUAUGAUCCAGAUAGUUUCUGAAGUCUGCCCAGCUAGGAGGUAGCUUGUCGACGAAGCAAUUCACUAUGAAGGUUUCACAGAUCUUCAUUCCUUCAUCAGCGAUUUCUUGACAAAUCAUCUGAAGUUCAUGGACUUGUUCCAUGAUGGGCCUUGAGUCCACCAUCAUGUACCUCGUAAAUUUGGAGGUUGCAUACCUUCCAGAGGAUACAUUGAAAGUCUUGUACUUCUUAUCCAAAGCUUCCCAGAGAUCCUUGGACGACUUGAUUUCGCAAUAGACAUUGAACAAUUGGUCAACCAAGCGGCUCUGGAUGUAGCCUUUGCAAAGGAAGUCCCCAUGGACCCAUGCUUCAACGCUUGCAACAGCACGCACAUCAGUAUUCCCAGUGGGCAAAGCAGGUUUGUCCUCGGUGAGAUACCUAUCCAAAUGCAGAGUGCACAGGAAAAAGUGCAUCUUUUGCUGCCACUGUUUGAAGUUGGUACCAUCAAACUUAUCCGGUGAGAUACCUGCAGCAAUAGCGCUGGGUAAAUUCGGAAUGUUUGUGGGUAGGGAUCCGAGUGCUGCACCUCCAACCGCUAAGGGUGUUGAUUCAGCGACAUCCUCUUGUCUUCCAUCAACGGAUUUCUCCACAUUUUUCGACAUCUGUUCCAAACGAGACAGGAAAAAAAAUGUCAGAUUCGUUGAAUAGAAUCGAUAGAAUAGCGAUUAAAAUAAGAGUCGCUAAUUUAUGCGUUCUGCGGAAACGCUAUAGAGCGGCCGUAGAAUCGCGUUUGAGUUUUGAACUCGAAAAGACGUUCACGGAUUUAACCGAGACGAUUUACAGACGCGGAAAGGAAGUUAUAAAAACUGUCCUUGUGUGGUCCAAUAGCGUUUCGCGUAACUUGCCAAAGGCCUUCGCGGAAACGGUUUCUUGUUAUAAAAAAAAAUCGUUUUUUCCUUAAAAACGUUUUCUGAAAAUCGUUUGUAUAGCAAUAUAGGAUCCGAUUCAAGCGAUAAGCAGGAUCGGAUUAUUUUGAAUUAAGACUGUAGGAAGUAAAUUUAGAGGAGACAAAUAUUGCAAUGUAAGAAAACGAUUUGAGAUACAGAAAAACGUUUUAUGAAAGCGGAUUAAGGAAAAACGAGAAGUGGAGGCGAGAUGAUCUCUUUCCUUAAUUCAAAAUAUCUCCCGCAGUGUGGCGGUUGGAUGAGAUAUAGAAUCCCAGGAUACAACCACUAGUAUUCGUAUAAUCGCAGCACCCGAUUAUAGAAUGUGACGAACUGAUAUUCUACGAUAUACUCUCGGACACUUACUCUUGAAAGAAGAAAGGAGACGCGAGAGAUUUGAAGGAAAAAUGUGAAUGAUUUUUCUCUGUAAAUUUUCUGUAGAGAGCGAUCAAAAUUGGAAGAGGAAAAGUCGAUAUAUGUAGCAAAGGAGAGAGGAUCGUCGCACUUAAUCAGCGUGUUAAUGACGAGAUUAAUUUUGCGCUAAUGAUGUGAUUUGGGCGUUUAUCUUGGCGUGAUUUUCGGGAGAGACAUUUGACUGCAGUUUAAUGUCGUGAUUCUGUUAAGAAUUUGAACCGAAAACUUUAGCAAUUUGGGCCAGAAAUGUUGACCAAAACGAGGCCCAAAAAGAACAUCUUUUGUGGGCCGAAGACCCACAUUCACCAAGACCCAAGACCCGAGCCCGAGACCGAGCCCGGCUCGGCUCGGCGGCGGCGGCGGCGUGCGAGGGAUCCUUGGUUCUCCUUCACACACUUUGAACUAUGUCAUGUGUGUGUCUAUAUUUAUAUGACUAGAAAAUUUUCCAAUCCUCCAAUGUGGGACAAAAUGAUGUUCCUCACAAUUUAAGUUGCCUUGAAGGGCUUUAUUUUUAUUCACACUUGACCAAAUUUUAAAGCCUUUGGGCUUUGUAAUAAUUUGGGUCCAACAAUUGUUAAAUUAGCAGCAUGUUCUAUAUGUAGUAGAUUGGUUGGUAAAGUAAAUCAGUCAUAGUCAGUGAAGACCUAAGGUAAAUUCAUUUUCUAAAAUCAAAAACAUUUAUUAUGAUAGAUAUUUGGCUAGUGGUAUAUGCUCGUAUUCAUAUAAUAAUUGAAUGAUGUUUGUAUACAUGCCAGUCGUCCUCAUUUCAUUUUCUAAACCAAAACCAUUUAUGAUCAACGAGAUUUUGGUUUGUAUAUGCUGAAUUCCAUAAGCGGAUGCCUCCAGAAGCCAUUGACCUUGCAUCUCGGCUUCUACAAUAUUCACCGAGUCUACGUUGCACUGCGGUCAGUAUCUCUACUAUACACGACCAAGUAUUUGUUGGAAUAAGCUUGAAGAAACUUGAAGUGUAAGUUUCCUAAUCCUAAUCAAAGUGUGUUUUAUAGAAGGUUAGGAUUAGAAAAGAAAAUUUAGGAGUUAUCUAAAUAAGAAAUUUGUUUCUCUAUUGGAAUUAGGAGUUAGCUAUUUUAUUCUCUAUAUAAGAGUUGCCAAAGUUGUGGUAAACCUUAUGAGUUGAAAGAAAUAUUAAGAGAGGUUUUAGUUUUUGAGUGAUUUUUCUAAAGCUAAUAAAAGAAGUUGCUUUUAUUCAUACUUGAUCUAAGUCUCAAUUCUAUAACUGGUAUUGUUGGGGUCGGUUUCAUCCCAAUCGGUUUAAACCAUCUCAAGAACAUUGGAGAGCCGAUCCGACAAGGAGAACCGGUGACCUGUCGAAAAUGGGCCGAGCCCCACAGAAGAAGGCCAAGCUCAAGUGGGCCGAGCCGUGAGGUGAAAAUGGGUGAGCCGCGUAUGAGAGCAGACGGGCCGAGAUGUGUCGUGAGGUAUGGGCUGAGCUGCACUUAACAUGAUUGGACCGAGUCGCGCCUCGGCGAGUUAGGCCAAGUCGCGUCUCAACUCGAAUGGCAAGUGGGCCGAGCCGUAGAGAAGGUUAGAUGGGCCGAGCUGUGAGAAGAAUGGUGAGCAGGCCUAGCAGCGCGAGAGGAGGCAUGGGCCGAAUCGCUUCCCUGUGUGUUGGGUCGAGCCGGUUUUCCAAGAUGGGCCGAACCAAGGCUUUAGAAGACGAAAGCCCACAGAAUUCCUAGGCGAAGUAUUAUGACGGUGGCCACACGAAGCGAUAAGGAAAUAUACCUAAAAUCUCUCCCAAGAUUCUCGAAAGAGGCGUUUUAAGAAAUUAGUAUAAAUAGGAGAUUUCUACGAUUCAUUAUAUAACUUUUGCCACCCUAAGCAAUAAGACCUAAACACUUUAACAGCAAUAAAAAUCCUCUUUUGAUCUUACUGUUCUUGCGAUUACCCUAGAAGUUUCGGAUCCCUUAGUUUUUCUCUUACAAAUUUUUGGUUGUGUGAGUUUUGGCUCACACAAUUUGGCGCCGACUGUGGGGAACAUCGAAACUUUCUUACUCUAAACCGAAAAGACUUUAAGAUCCGAAGAACAUGGCGAGCAAUACCCCCGACGAUAACCACAACAACAGAAACAAUGGUAACGGCGCGGAGAAGGACGCUCUGGCAUCAGGCACAACGACGGCAGCGACCGAAACCCAAGAGGAGAUGCGAAACAUGAUGGCCGCGUUGAUGAGGAAAAUCGACGAGGAGGACAAACGAAACGAGGCGAUUACGGAGAGGCUCGACGCGAUGGCGGCUGAGCGACAACACCCAACCUGGAGAGCUGGAAUUCCCGACCCAAUGGAUGGAAUCCGGAGACGCUUCAACUUUUCAACGCCUGCAGAGGCCUCUGGGAGCGGCGCAAGAAACCCCUUGGUUCGCCCAAUGUUUCGUCCCCUCGGCGAACAGACUCCCGCGGCAACCCGAGUCAACAUGACUGAGCCGCCUCCACUCCGUCGGAACUCAAGGCGACGAGCCGGCGAGGAGGAGAAUGACGCGAUUGACGUGGACGCCCAGCAGAACGAUGGAACCACGAAUCCGCAACAAAAUGGCUCGGCUCGGCGGAUAAGCUAAGAAGAGCUCGCCUCGGCACUAAACGGCGUCCGGACUGACGAAGUCUCCGAUCCGACUCACGGCGACAACCCGACUGAAGAAGAAGAAAAUCUCCAAUGGAUCGAGCAGGUGAAGCGCGAAGACGAGCCGAGGAGAGAAGAGUAGGAGCGACUCCCCCAAUCAAAAGGAAUGACUCACGCGCAAACUCUCGAACUCAAAGAGUUGCGAGCCUCAAUGGCUCGGACAGUAGCUGAAAUACGCGCCAUGAAGUCUCAAGUGCACAACGCAACGAGUGCUGCGCCCGAGAUCGACCGGAUGCUUGAAGAAACUCAGAGAACUCCAUUCACGGCAAGAAUCACGGAGGCAAGGAUUCCCGAGCCCGGAAAAGUGAGAAUCCUGUUCUACGAAGGAACAACCGAUCCGAAAGCACACAUCACAGCGUUUCGGAUAGCAAUGGGACGAGCCUUCACAAAGAACGCUGCCAAACUGACCGAGCGGGAAGUAGAUGCCAGAUACUGCCUGCUCUUCGUGGAGCAUCUUAAGGGAGCCGCACUCGAGUGGUUUUCGAGGCAGGAACGCAACUCCAUCGGCAGCUUUCAACAGCUCUCUGCCUUGUUCCUUAAACAAUACUCGAUGUUUAUGGAUAGAGGAACGUCUGAUGCCGACCUGUGGACACUAUCCCAAGGACCGAACGAACCACUUCGAGAUUACAUGGCAAGAUUCAAGGCAGUCGUAUCCAAAACAGAAGGGAUAAGCGACAAGGCUGCACUCGAAGCUCUGAAACAAUCUUUGUGGUACAAAUCCGAGUUCCGACAGGAGAUGGCACUCAACACACCCCAAACAAUUCAAGACGCUUUGCACCGGUCAUCAGACUUUGUCGUAAACGAGGAGGAGAUGAAAAAUUUGGACGAGCAGUACGAAGCAACGAAAGCAGCAAUCCGAAGCUCAAUUUUGACGGGCCCCUCGAAGAAAGGCGACCCAUCGAACAACACAACAACGCAGAGCUCGGACGAACCUAGAAGCGGAGGUGCCCAUAACUACCAGGUAGGCACCGGACGCGGAAGAGGAGAGCCGCGCAACAACACUUGGGUAAGAAAGUCUGCUAACUACGACGAGAAGGCUUUCUGCGAAUAUCACCAGACCUACAGGCACUCAACGACACAAUGCCGAACGUUAGCAGCAAAACUCGCGGCUAAGAUGGCAGCGGGAGAGCUCCAAAACGCGGUCAACCUCAAAGACCUCGUCCCUAAUGAACCACAAGAAAGAGCCGAGCCGAGCGGCGCGGCUGAACCCGCAAAUCCUCCCCGACAAGGCGAUAACUCCAAGCGUGACAGGAGAGGCGAACCUGAAGAGCGACCCAAGCCGAGGCAAAUGAUCAAUAUGAUCAUGGGAGGAUCUCAAUACUACCAAGAUAUCGUGUCCUCCAUCAAAGCCUAUCAGCGCCGAGCCGAAGCGAAGGAGAAUUGGACAGAACCAACCGACAUCCUAAAUACAGUGAUCUCCUUCGCCGAGGAGGAAACGGCAGGAAUCGAUAGACCCCACAACGAUCCAUUGGUGAUUGAGUUAACAAUCAGGGAUCAUGACGUAGCGAGGGUGCUCAUCGAUAUUGGAAGCUCGGUGAACGUCAUCUUCAGGGACACACUCAGAAGAAUGGGAAUCGACCUCUCCGAGGUGGAAGCAAUCCCCAAACGUCUAACCGGAUUUUCAGGAGAAACGACGAUGACUAUGGGAACGAUCAGGCUCCCUGUGGUAGCUGGCGGAGUCACGAAGAUCGUUGAAUUCUGCGUCACCGAUCACCCAACAAUCUAAAAUGUGAUUAUGGGAACUCCAUGGAUCAACGGAAUGAGGGUGGUCCCCUCCACCUAUCAUCUCUGUCUCAAGUUCCCGACUCCAGCGGGUGUCAAAAUGAUCUGGGGGAAUCAGAAGGAGUCACGAAUGUGCUGCCUAGCAUAGCACAAGCUGAGGAACCCCGUCACCGACGCACGAGCAGACAUAGAUCGCAAAAAGAUGAAGACAGACCGAGAGCCUGCGAACAAGCUCUUGAAACUCUUAUAGCACUUACAGAUCGCGGAGAGCCGCAAAACACGCGCCGAGCCGGUAUGUGAUGCGGUGGACUCGGUGUGCAUAGACGAGGCGCGUCCGGAGUGAUGCGUCAAAAUUGGAGCAAAACUAGAAGAGCCUCUGAGAAGCAAACUCCUUUCCCUCCUCAAGGAGAACAUCAACACUUAUGCCUGGACAGCGGAAGAUAUGCCAGGCAUAAGCAUCGACGUGACCUGUCACGAGCUGAACGUGGACCCGACCUUUUGAUGUGCUCGUGUCAACUACGUGAGGGAACAAGUUUUACCCUUAACAAGACAAAUGAAAGCCGCAAGUGCACAGCGAAUCAGUUGUAGUAUUUAGGGAUCAAAUCCACAGAGAUUUGUGUACCUGGUAUUCUUCUACGGUUUUUAACUUUAUGUCUAGACUAAAUUGGUUUUAAAGGUUAGUUGUUUUUCUUGCGAAUUAAACUAAAACAAAAGAAAGCAAAUAAAUAUAUCCUAAAAAACAGGUAAGAAAAUCGAAUGAAAUGCAAUUAGAAUAGGCAAAUAUCGAAUGAAAGACUAAUAAGGCAAGUAAGAUAUCGCAUGAAAAGUAAAUAAAGCAAGUAAAUAAUGAACUAAGAAAAUUGAAAUGCAGGUCUAAAAAAGCAAGUAAAAAUCGAUGGAAUUGUAAACUAUGGCUAAAAACGCUGAGCUUUUGGGAACUCUAAGGGAUCAUAAUCGGUUUUAACACUAAGGUAGAUAGAUUGGGAUUGACAGAUAACGAUAUAUGGGUUCUAGAGCUAGAGUACGGCGGUAUGACUACGUCACUGUCGUGAUCAUAACCAACAGUUUCUCGCAACCCUGACCAGUAGGUUUCCACUCUGGCCCUGGAAGGGAGAGAACGCAAGAGCUGCACAAGACUCGUCAAUACUCACGAUCUCGCCGCAGGUAGGUUUCCACUCCUACGGAAAAAUCGCCUGUUUCAUUCUAGGGCUGAUACUUAAUGAAAACUUUCGCAACACUAACUAUCUAGAUCAGAUACUAGGUGAUCAAUCAAGCAUACAUGCAAUAAGAACAAGAAUAAACAGAGAACAGGUCGAAAUCCCAGAUCUAUAAACCUAGAUGUCUUAAUCGAUUAUGAGAGCCCCUUUCGGGAACCCUAAGCCCAACUCGGGAUCUACUCAGACAUGGCUGAGUUCGAAAUCAUCAUUGGUUUUAAUAUAAGUAAUGAAAAACAGUAAAGAAAAGAGAUAAAGAAAGCUUCUCUAUUGAAGAACUCGGACUUGAACAAUCUUCUACAAAAAUCUCAUAAAAACGGCUAAAGGAAAAGGGUUUAUGUAAAGUAUGAAGGGUUCUCCUUAAAAACGACCUAAAUGACAUGUAUUUAUAGUCUCCAAUACUCUAUGGUCUCUAGGGUUCCAGAAUUGAGGCUGAGAAUGACUUUGGGCUUCAGAUAAGUGGGCUUUAACUCGGAGAUUGAUUGCCGCAGUCGGGAGUGUUGUGACCGUGGCAAUUGGCUUGUUGGCCGCGGUCGGGAAGCUUCUGACCGCGGCAAAUAGCUUGUUGGCCGCGGUCGGGUGAGUUGUUGACCGACUUCGAAUGGCUCCGGGGCUAAUGAAAUAUCUUGAGAUCCAACCAUUGGAAUGUCUCCAAACCAAGUGAAUUUGAAAGCUGGUUGAUUCUUCUAUAAGUUGUCCAAUUUUGAGGGUGAUCAGACGGUGAGAAGGUCUUCGUCUCUCCAUGAGAGUUCUGACGGUCUGCAUUUAUCCAAAAGAGUCUUUUUGUUCCAUUUUGUGCCUCUUUAUCCCAAAUUACCUGAAAAGUCUUUUAAAAUCUGGAAACAUAGAAAUCCUUUGAAAACCUUUGAAAAUGGAGUAAAAACACCUGUAAAAGAUAUUAAAAUGAUCCAUAAAAAUGGUCAAAAUCCGGUGUUAUCAACUCUUCCAGACUUAGUCUUUUGUUUGUCCUCAAAGAAAAUAAGGCUAAAUCUCGGCGAGAGGUUUGAAAACGCAGGAACUAAACAAAAUCUCAGAGACCAAACUUCUAGACCAAUAUCAAUCAGUAUGCAUCAAUAGGAAUAGCCUAGAAAAUUCUCACUAGCAAUACAGGCAUAACUAGUCCGUUAAUCCGUCAUGCAGAAAUCUAUGCACUAAGAUCUAACUUCCAGUCAACUAGCUCUUAACAUUCAUUAAAAAUCUCGGUGGUUCUCAUCAAAGAAAAUCUAGGCAAGGCGAUCUAGGCUAGGUGUCAAGAAGGAUUAUUUUGGGGGGUAAGGCUUAAAGUGUUUACGGGUUACCUGAAGAUUUGGAGGAUGCAGGAUAUUAUGCAAAACCGCAAGAGAGAGUGAAGCUAUUGGUAUCCACAGUUUUCAGUUGGUGAGAAGAUGGAGAAUAAAAGCGAAAUAAAAUAAAAUAAAAAGAAAAGAAAAUGAUGAUAGAACCGUGAUGGUAGUGAAGUGCUGAUCAAUCACUCAUCCUCCGAAGUGUCGUCUGCGAACUGGUUUCGUCCAUUUUCUGCAAAAUGAAAUGAUUCUUGGAAAAAGAGUUAAUAUGGAUGCUGAUUUUAACACAUUAAGAUUUGUUACACUAAUACUAGCAUAAAGAGAUUAAUUAAAACCAUGAGCAAACAAAAUUGAUAUUGAAUCAGAGAAAUCAAGUAGUUCAUGACUAAAUUCGGAUUUUUGAUGUUCUUAACAUAGAAAUCUUCUAAAAAUCGGUUUUGAUGAGCAAUUUCCAUGUAAAAUUCUAAAGAUUACCCAAUACUAAUCACUAAUCACACAAGACUAAAUCAAAUUCAUCAAUUUUGCUGUUCCAAAUUCGAUUUUUAUUAAGCAUGUAGAAUCCAAAUUUCAAAAAUCUCAAUUUCUCUUAAGCUAAGUGCUAAAUCGAUUUUUAGAUAACCUAAAUGGAUAAUGUAUCAUUCUUAAGCUAUUUCCACCAUCAAUAGACCAAGAUUUUGGGUUUUUAAAGAAAACCCUAAGUUCAAAUCGAGUAAGAAUGGUGAAUUUGAGGUUCAUACCUUGCUGGAAAGAGAGAAUUGAUGGCAGAAUUGAAAUCAGCUUUGAAAAAGAGUGAGGUUUGAGCCAAAAAUCUCUUAAAAAGCUUAAGAAUUGAAAAAUGUGUUCUUUCUCCUAGAUCUUUAAGUCUUUUGGAAGAGAGGAGAAGAAAGAGUUUUGAUCCAAAAAGUUUGUUUCUUUUCUUUAAAAAGCAUUUUUGAAGCAAAAACGAAAAAUUUCUGGAAAUUUUUAAGUUUAUGGGAACUUACCUUUUCUUGUUUGCACAUUAGGAAAGUUCAAAACUUACGGAGGAUCUUUUCGGGUUUUACCGGGAACAUUUCGGGAAACACCGGGAAUCACCAGGCAACACCGGGAAAUACCGAAAAAGGCAGAAAUCCGCGGCAUCACCUCAACGACCAACGGCCGCGGUCAGGAGACGCGCGACCGCGGUGAUUGAGGGCUCGGCCGCGGUCAUGUUCACGGUGCCGCGGUCGACGCACCCUUGGCCACGGGUCGAACGGUCGCCACCGCGGCUCUUCCUCCUGCGGCCUAUUGUCCAAUCUUCUAGUCUUUGCCGGGCCGAGCGGCUAAAAACCUACCUUUUCUUCUUGGUUUUUCUAAUUUUCUGAUUUUUUUGUGUUUUUGUUUUAUAACAUACCUAAAACUUAAAAAGAAAAAGAAAGCAUAAAUUGUAAAAAGGAAAAGAAAACUAAAAGAAAGAGUACCUAAAUGGGUUGCUUCCCAUUAAGCGCUUUUGUUUUAAGUCGUUUAGCUCGACGUAAGCAUGAGGAAUCAGGCUGAUUUGAAUGGCACUCCACUUGAUGUGCCUUUAUCACUUCCGGUUGCUGGAGGUUUUACUUCUUCUCCUUGAGGAGAAGUCUUCUUACCUUUACUCUUCUUUCGGACUUUAAUGUUGUUCAGAACCCUUUUUGUGUUUUUGAUCAGCUCCUGGAUUUGGUCCUCACUAGUUUCUGUUGCAUCUGGUGGAAUGAUGAUCUUGAUCUUUGCAAAAGCUUUCGGCUUCUCCUUUUCUUUCUCUUUUGGCAUGUUUCCUUUGCUUGGAAAUUCUUCUAAGAUAGUAGGAUAGUACAUUUUUCUGUCCACAUUGAGGAAAACAGCAUGCCGGUUUGCGUGAUCGAUAAUUGCUCCUACUGUAGCUAGGAAUGGUCUCCCGAAAAUGAGUGGCCUCUCCAUGUCUUUAUCCAUCUCUAGGACUUGGAAAUCUGCUGGAACAGUCUUAUCUCCCACUAGAACUUGUAGAUCGUGAAUCGCCCCUUCAGUAUCUUUUUGAGAUAAAUCUCCAAAGAUAACCUUAACCGUCGAUGUCCUUAAGGUUUUUAUGCCCAAUUUUUCGGCAAAUGUCUUAGACAUGAUGUUGACAUUGGCUCCGGAAUCGCACAAGCAGUCUGUAAACUUGAUUCCUGAAAUGAAACACUGGAAAACAAAACGUCCCGGAUCAUCGGCUUUGGUAAGCCUUUGAAACGGUGAUAGUUCAGGUACCUUAAACGGUGGCUGCUUGGGAUCGAUAUCCUUGUACAGCGGUACAAAGAUUGGGGUUUCUUCUUUCUUUCCAUCGGUUCCGGCCUCUUCUUCGGGCAAUGUGGUUAUGGCGUUGCAAAACUUCUUAGCGUUAUCUUCAACUCUUCCUGGAAGAACUCCACUUUUCCUCUUCAUAGAGUCGGCCGUUUGGGCGACUUGCACAUCUAAUUUUUUUACGUGCGAAGAUAAAGAUUCAAACUUACCAUUCAGAUCAUUGUACAUGCAGACCACUUUCACGUUCACGUCUUUAGAUGCUUUUUCGUUCGUCAUAACGAGCUGUUGGAUUGACUGUUCAAGUCUACCGAUUUGUGAAGCUAGCUGGUUCGUCGUGACUCCCUGCUGUUGUACAAAUUGAUUGUUAAAACCCGUACCUUGGUAGUUAUAUGGCUGUCGCGGUUGAUAUGGUACUAUUCCUCCAAAGUUUCCACCUUGAAACUUGUUUUGGAAGGAUUUUUGCUGAGGUGGGUAGUACUGAUCUUGAGGAUUCUCCACAUUUGGAUUGCGGUAAGAGAGAUUGUUGUAAUUUGCAUUCCGGAAGUUGUUGUUGAAGUUGUUGUUGGAGCGAUUUUGGUAUGGCAUUAGUGCUCCUACGUAGUUCACAUCUUCUUCUUGAAAUGCUUGAUUAAUGUGAUCGAUAUCACUAGGUCCUUCCUCUUCUGCGCCAUUUUUGGUUUCACAGGCAUGGAUCGGGCGAUUGUUGCUCUUCAGAAGCUGGUUCACCAUGUUCUUCAACUCGGUUAUCUCCUUGUUGUCUGUUCCGGAUUGCUUCAUCGAUCGAUCGUAUUCAGGACAGUCAUUGCUAUUGGCUUGAGCCAAAUUUUCGAUGAGAGCUCUUCCUUGGGUUAUCGUCUUUUGCCCAAAAUCUCCAUUGCUAGCUGUAUCAAGUGAAAGUUUGUAUUUUGGUUGCAAACCUCGAUAAAAUGUGCUUAGCAGGCUUGAUCCAUGAAAUCCAUGGUGAGGAGUCACGUUCAUAUUCCUUAAAACGUUCCCAAGCUUCAUAGAAAGAUUCAGUUGGCCCUUGUUGAAAGGUUGAGAUCUUCGUUCUCAAAUUGUUCGACCUUGACUUAGUGUAGAAGUGGUUUAGGAAAGCAGUUCUACAUUCUUCCCAAUUGGUAAUCGAUCCUGCAGGCAAAGACUUCAACCAACGGUGAGCUUUAUCUGCUAAUGAAAAAGGGAACAACUUACACUUUAAAUAGUCAGGUGGAACUUGGUUUGUUCUCAUCAUGCUGCAAAUUUCUUCAAAAAGCUCGAUAUGGUCCAUUGGGUGCUCAGAAGGAACUCCAUGGAACUGGUUUUGCUUCACCAAUGAGAUGAUUUGAGGCUUGACUUCAAACUCAUUCCGGUUUGGAAAUGGUACUUGAAUCGCAGAUCGAUUCUGAAAAUUUUGAGUAUGUGCAUCAAAAUCAGCUAUGCGAUGGUUCUUGGCUUGUCUUUGGUGUUGAUUUGCUGGCGGAAUGGGGCGGUGAAUGCGUUUAUUCGGCUGCAUUGCUGGGUGGUCACCAUCGGCUGCAUUGAUGGGUGGAUCAAGGUCUUCACGUCCUUCUCUCUCUCGGUUCUGGUGGUUUCUUGGAAGAACCUCAUCCUCCUCUCCAUCUUGUCGAGCAUGAUCACCUUUUAUGUGAUCAUUCUCUUUGUUUUCUCCAUGUUCGGACCCGUCUUGGUCCAUAUUUAAAUUUCGAUUAAUAGGAUCUCUAGGCUGGUCGUCGUUGGCCAUUCCUUGCGUUCGUCUAAGUCUUCGAAGUUUUCUUUCGUGUCUGUCUAUCUCGUCUAGAAUUGGAAUGUCUCCUGCAGGUCUACGCCUGGUAUUCAUGAAAUUCAGAGAAAAACAAAAGAAGGGAAAGAUAGUUCAGAAAAACUUUAAGAAAGAACUAGAGAUCAGGUGUCUAGAACAGAAGUUAAAACAAGAAAAAUAGCAAAAGGCAGCGAAACAAAUCCCCGGCAACGGCGCAAAAAACUUGAUGUGCUCGUGUCAACUACGUGAGGGAACAAGUUUUACCCUUAACAAGACAAAUGAAAGCCGCAAGUGCACAGCUAAUCAGUUGUAAUAUUUAGGGAUCGAAUCCACAGAGAUUUGUGUGCCUGAUAUUCUUCUACGGUUUUUAACUUUAUGUCUAGACUAAAUUGGUUUUAAAGGUUGGUUGUUUUUCUUGCGAAUUAAACUAAAACAAAAGAAAGCAAAUAAAUCUAUCCUAAAAAACAGGUAAGAAAAUCGAAUGAAAUGCAAUUAGAAUAGGCAAAUAUCGAAUGAAAGACUAAUAAGGCAAGUAAGAUAUCGCAUGAAAAGUAAAUAAAGCAAGUAAAUAAUGAACUAAGGAAAUUGAAAUGCAGGUCUAAAAAAGCAACUAAAAAUCGAUGGGAUUGUAAACUAUGGCUAAAAAUGCUGAGCUUUUGGGAACUCUAAGGGAUCAUAAUCGGUUUUAACACUAAGGUAGAUAGAUUAGGAUUGACAGAUAACGAUAUAUGGGUUCUAGAGCUAGAGUACGGCGGUAUGACUACGUCACUGUCGUGAUCAUAACCAACAGUUUCUCGCAACCCUGACCAGUAGGUUUCCACUCUGGCCCUGGAAGGGAGAGAACGCAAGAGCUGCUCAAGACUCGUCAAUACUCACGAUCUCGCCGCAGGUAGGUUUCCACUCCUACGGAAAAAUUGCCUUUUCAUUCUAGGGCUGAUACUUAAUGAAAACUUUCGCAACACUAACUAUCUAGAUCAGAUACUAGGUGAUCAAACAAGCAUACAUGCAAUAAGAACAAGAAUAAACAGAGAACAGGUCGAAAUCCCAGAUCUAUAAACCUAGAUGUCUUAAUCGAUUAUGAGAGCCCCUUUCGGGAACCCUAAGCCCAACUCGGGAUCAACUCAGACAUGGCUGAGUUCGACAUCAUCAUUGGUUUUAAUAAAAGUAAUGAAAAAAAGUAAAGAAAAGAGAUAAAGAAAGCUUCUCUAUUGAAGAACUCGGACUUGAACAAUCUUCUACAAAAAUCUCAUAAAAACGGCUAAAGGAAAAGGGUUUAUGUAAAGUAUGAAGGGUUCUCCUUAAAAACGACCUAAAUGACAUGUAUUUAUAGUCUCCAAUACUCCAUGGUCUCUAGGGUUCCAGAAUUGAGGCUGAGAAUGACUUUGGGCUUCAGAUAAGUGGGCUUUAACUCGGAGAUUGAUUGCCGCAGUCGGGAGUGUUGUGACCGCGGCAAUUGGCUUGUUGGUCGCGGUCGGGAAGCUUCUGACCGUGGCAAAUAGCUUGUUGGCCGCGGUCGGGUGAGUUGUUGACCGACUUCGAAUGGCUCCGGGGCUAAUGAAAUAUCUUGAGAUCCAACCGUUGGAAUGUCUCCAAACCAAGUGCAUCUGAAAGCUGGUUGAUUCUUCUAUAAGUUGUCUAAUUUUGAGGGUGAUCAGACGGUGAGAAGGUCUUCGUCUCUCCAUGAGAGUUCUGACGGUCUGCAUUUAUCCAAAAUAGUUUUUUUGUUCCAUUUUGUGCCUCUUUAUCCCAAAUUACCUGAAAAGUCUUUUAAAAUCCGGAAACAUAGAAAUCCUUUGAAAACCUUUGAAAAUGGAGUAAAACCACCUGUAAAAGAUAUUAAAAUGAUCCAUAAAAAUGGUCAAAAUCCGGUGUUAUCACCUUUAAGCCAAUCAAGCAGAAAAGAAGAAAGCUCGGCCCCAAACGAGCUAAAGCAGUUAACGACGAAGUCGAGAGAUUACUCAAAGUAGGAUCAAUCGCCGAGGCCAAAUAUCCGGACUGGCUCGCGAAUCCGGUGGUCGUGAAGAAGAAGAACGGCAAGUGGCGGGUCUGUGUGGAUUUCACUGACCUCAACAAGGCGUGCCCAAAAGACAGUUUUCCCUUGCCACACAUCGACCGGCUUGUCGAAGCCACUGCAGGAAAUAGAUUGUUAACAUUUAUGGACGCGUUCUCUGGCUACAAUCAGAUCCUGAUGCAUCCUGAUGAUUGGGAAAAAACGGCAUUUAUAACUGAUCGCGGGAUAUACUGCUACAAAGUCAUGUUGUUCGGGCUCAAGAACGCGGGAGCAACAUAUCAACGGCUCGUCAAUAAAAUGUUCGCGGCUCAGCUCGGAAAAACCAUGGAGGUAUACAUUGACAACAUGUUAGUCAAAUCACUCAAGGAGGAAGACCACGUCGCGCAUCUACGGGAAUGCUUCGAGCAAUUGAACAAGCACAACAUGAAACUAAACCCGGCAAAGUGCAGAUUUGCGGUCACCUCGGGAGAAUUCCUCGGCUAUCUGGUAACUCACUGAGGCAUAAAAGCAAACCCCAAGCAGAUCAAGGCAUUAAUCGAGAUGCCCUCUCCAAGGACGAAGCACGAAGUGCAAAAGCACACAGGAAGGGUCGCCGCGCUAAACAGGUUUAUUUCCCGUUCUACCGACAAGUGCCUGCCUUUCCACGACACCCUUCGGGGAAACAAGAAAUUCGAGUGGGACGAGCGAUGCGAAGCAGCUUUCCAAGAGUUGAAGAAUUAUCUGGCGAGUCCACCGAUCUUAGCAAAACCAGUCGAAGGAGAGCCGCUCUUCCUCUACAUCGCCGUAUCUGCUACAGCUGUGAGUGGAGUGCUUAUCAGAGAAGAACGACCCGAGCAAAAACCCAUUUUCUACAUCAGCCAGACACUGACCGACGCCGAGACCCGCUACCCCCAGAUCGAGAAGGUCGCCUUAGCCGUCGUAGUCUCGGCUCGCAAACUGCGCCCGUAUUUUCAACCACAUUCAAUUGUUGUGCUCGCUACACUUCUGCUGCGCUCGAUCCUACACAGCCCGAGCCAAUCCGGUCGGCUCGCCAAGUGGGCCAUAGACUGAGCGAAUACGACAUCGAGUAUCGGAACGGGUCGUCUGCAAAGUCACAGGUGCUCGCAGAUUUUCUCAUCGAACUUCCAGCCGAAGCAACGAACGAGCCAACCCCGGACGAAGUAUGGACGCUGCACGUCGACGGCUCGUCAUCUAAACACGGCUCAGGAAUAGGAAUCCGCCUCACCUCUCCCACAGGAGAGAUACUGGAGCAGUCGUUUCGCCUAAACUUCCACGCCUCGAACAACGAAGCAGAAUACGAAGCAGAAUACGAAGCACUGAUCGCCGGUGUACGACUAGCGCAAAGAAUUGGAGUUCAAAAGAUAAUAACCUUUUGCGAUUCACAGCUCGUAGCAUGCCAGUUCAACGGAGAGUACGAGGUGAAAGAUGGACGAAUGGGAGCUUACCUCAACGUGGUCCGAGAGUUGGUGCAGAAGUUCGACGAGUUCGAGCUCACACAAAUUCCCCAAGGAGAAAACACCUCGGCUGACGCCUUGGCAGCACUCGCCUCGACCUCAGACCCAGACCUCCGACGGACGAUUCCAGUUGAAUUCAUCGAACGUCCUAGCAUCGAAGAGGUAGAAAGAGUUCGGCUGAUAAAUCCUCCCGAACAAGAACCGGAAGACGACAAAGCCAUUCCUAUGGACGAAGACGCCCUACCAGCCGAGCCGGAGUACGGCUGCAACAAAAAAUGGCUCGGAGCUAUCCGAGUAUAUAUCGCCGAUGGAGAAGUCCCAACCGACAAGUGGGAAGCCCGCAAAUUAAAAGCAUAGGCCACGCGGUAUGUCCUUGUCGACGGAGAGGUGUUUAAAUGGAGAUUUUCAGGACCUCUCAUGACAUGCGUCGAAGGACCGGAGGCAAGAAAGAUCAUGCACGAACUGCACAGCGAAGCGUGCGGAAACCAUUCUAGCGGAACGUCGCUCGCUAUCAAGAUAAAACGGCACGGUUACUUCUGGCCUACGAUGGUCAAGGACUGCGAAACAUUUACGGCAAAGUGCGAGAAGUGUCAACGGCACGCUCCAACAAUUCAUCAACCUACCGAGCUGCUCUCAUCAAUUUCGUCAUCUUACCCGUUCAUGAGAUGGUCGAUGGACAUCGUCGGACCUCUACAUCGAUCGAAGCAGAAGCGCUUUCUGCUCGUCCUCACGGGUUAUUUUUCCAAGUGGGUCGAGGCUGAUUCCUACGCAAGCAUAAAGGAUGUUCAAGUCGAACACUUCGUAUGGAAAAAUAUCAUCUGCAGACACGGGUCCCCUACGAGAUAGUCACCGACAACGGAUCCCAGUUCAUCUCGACGCGUUUUGAAGCCUUCUGCGAGAAGUGGAAAAUCCGUCUAAGCAAAUCUACACCAAGAUACCCUCAAGGGAACGGACAAGCUGAAGCAGCCAACAAGACAAUCCUAGACGGUCUGAAAAAGAGGCUCGACGCCAAGAAAGGACGAUGGGCAGACGAACUCGAAGGAGUCCUUUGGUCGCAUCGAACGACCCCGCGCCGAGCCACCGGAGAAACUCCAUUCGCUUUGGUCUACGGAGCGGAAUGCGUAAUUCCCCCCCGAGGUGGACUUCCCAGGUAUUCGACGAAGACUUCUACCAGGACAUGAGGGCUUAAACCACUUAAUGAUGCUAGAUGAGCUCGAUCUAAUCAACGAAAGGCGUGACCAGGCUUUAGUCCGAAUCCAGAACUAUCAACAAGCAACGGCGAGGUACUUCAACAAAAACGUUCGUAGUCGAAGAUUCAAAGAAGGAGAGCUCGUCCUUCGAAAGAUUUUCCAAAACACUGCCGAGAAGAAUGCAGGAAAGCUCGGAGCAAACUGGGAAGGUCCUUACAAGAUUACAAAAGUAGUUCGCGCAGGAGUCUACGAACUCGCAACCCUAGCUGACGAAGCGAUUCCAAGAUAAUGGAACGCAAUGCAUCUAAAGAAGUAUUAUCACUAAAGCUACAGUACGGUCAACAUGAACUACGGGACGGCUUGAUCCCUGCAAAGGGUACGUAGGCAGCCCGUCCUCGGACGGAUUCAGCUGUCCCCCCUCCUAAAAAGGGGGGGGGGGGAGUGGGUACGUAUACACAUACUUUCAUUUAACUCUACAAUUUUAGCUCACCUACCUAGGAACAUUGCCACUUCGGCACAUUUUCAGUUCGUUUUAAGUUAUCUACUUAUUUCAUGUUCACCUCGGAAUUCUAGUUCGUUCAUUAUCGCUUCGGCUAGUUUCUCAUUCUUUUAAAUCAGCAGCUUAUUUCAUAAUUCGCCUCGGAUUCUUUAAUUCGUUCACCCAUCACUUUGACAUGUUAUCAUGACUUAAUCGUCUCAGACCUUUUACUUGCCUUCACUUUCAGUUCGACAAAUUAAGUCUCCAGACGCCUCGUCUCGUUGCUGGCCACAACGGGACAACGGAUACAAAGUUCUCUAAACGGACUUUUACCACCUUUCUUAGGACGAGGGUGCAAGUUACAUCCUCUAUGAAUAAAAUUAAAGCGCGCUAUACAAAUAUCAGACCAAAAACGUAUCGGUCGCCACAGUUUACUAUCGCACACAGAUUAUAAGUCGAGACUACAUCGCUUUCUCUAAAACCGAAGUGAACUCUUAAAACCCGGCAAAACACACUCAUCCUCUCGGAAACGCCGGUCUAUGGUCAUAUUCAACGAGACUACUAUAUCCUCUUGAUCUUUCGCCUCGUCAAUGAGAAAACACAUAACUUACCUGAUAAAUACUUCGGCUUCUUUCUCAAAACAAUCUUAUAACAGCUCACCUCAAUGCGGACCUCUCUCAGUGACAGAAUGGAUAAACCCCAAAUCAUUUUUGGUUAAUAAAAACAAAACGCCUCGUCGUUUACACGGCUCGGCAUCAUGCAAAGAAAAACGCCUCGUCGUUGAACACGGCUCGGCAUUACCAACAAAAGUUGCCUGGAUAUUAUCACUUAACACUUUUUAGCGUCACCUAAAACAAAAGACGCUCCACAAACCAACUCCCAGCUCGGGAUUCAGAACUCAAACGGGAUCCUGAACAACUCACCCCUUAGCCCGUAUUUCUAUCAAUUUCAAAGAAUUCGGCUAGAAAAGCAAUCGAGAUCAUUCUCGACACAGCUCGAUAAGCCAAUCGGUGACAACUCUUUCCAAACAAACAGUUUUUGUAAACAUUUUCACGGAUCGUCAAGGACAAACGAAUCAAAUCCGAAAACGGCUAAGGAAAAGAUAAUAUAACCAAAUGGAAAAAUAACAGUCAGGUGGAUAAAGCCAUCCAGGCACCGGUUUCACAAGAUUUCAAGAAGCAGAUAACAUCACCUAAAAUCCUAAGUACAAAAGCAUGUGAGACGAAAAGAUAGGAGAAAGCGGAGAGGAUCAGGCCGCAGACUGCGUUUCACACUCGGCAAGGAGGUUCGAGAGGGCCGGCGUCUCCGCAUUCGAUCCGGUCGGAUCUACGACGCCCAGGUUGGCCGCUGUCUCCUCGAGCGGCUCGUUACCGAGACUGGUGUCCACCUAGUCCGGCGAUACGGGCGAAAAAACCAGGUUACCUCGAAUCUCAGAGGCAAUGCGCUCAUACGCCUCGUCGUCGGCGUACUUGCUCUCCCAGCUCUUCAGCUUCGCCUCCUCGUCAUCGAGCGUUGGGGCGUCCAGUUUCAUCAGGUCGGCAAUCAUCGCAAGAUUGCCCUUGAUCUGCCCCAGCUCGUUCUUGUCGGUUUUGGCCUUCUCGAGCUUGGCCAAACCUUCCUUUACCUUGGCGAGGCGUUCCUGAAACUUAUCCUUUGCCUCGAUACGCUUUUUGAGCAACGCCACCUCGGCGCUUUUAGCUCUCCUAGCCUCCUCCAGGCAAAUAGCCGAGGCGGAGACCUUGUCAAUAUUGGUGCAGAGAACUAUCUUCUCCUCUUCCAGCCUGGACACCCUGGUCAUCGCCUCGUCCAGCUUCCCCUUUGCCAACGCGGUCUCGUUCGGAGCCUCGUCCAAGCGACGUUCAACCUUAGACAGGUCCGUCUCGUAUUCAGCCAUCAGCUCGUUGAUGGUCGCUACAAACUGCAAGGAAUAAUGCGCGUUAAACACUUGGUACCACGCUGUGCCAUCGCGCCGUACGACCUCGGUCUCCUCAGCUUUUCUGGAGGAGGAAGACGCGUGUUCGCAUUAUUAACGCGCGCGAACAUUACUGCCGAGGCGUCAGGGUCGUCAACGACCAGUUUGCGCGCAGCGUGAUCACCGGGAGUCGACUUGCGCUUCUUCUUGGACGGCUCAUCUUUUGGAUAGCAACGCCCGCUGAACGUUUCCGGCUAGGGUCGUGCUUACGUACAACCGAGGUCGGGGGCCUCGAUGACUUCGGGAGAGCCAGAAUAGCGGAAUUUGAAGGAGUUUUACUCCGCGCCGCCGAGUCAUCUUUGGACGCCUCGGGAAUAAUCUCGCCCGGUUCCACCUCGGGCGCUGUUUCUUUUUCGGCCGCCUCGGCAACGUUCGCCUCCGUGGCUCGGACCGUGUCGUCACCUUCACGGCUCGGCGGAUCGGUCUGAGGGAUAGCCUCGGUCUCUGUUUGAGCCGCCUCGGCGGCUCGUCUCGCGGCUUCUUCCUCUUCACGCCUCUUCUUAUCUCUGAGAGUAAUGAUCACCAUUUUCUCUCUGGUAUCUCUUGAGGAGCUGGAAGAUGAAGAGCUAACAGGGACUCCGGCAAGAAUAGCUCGCGCUUUUUCUACUCUCUCAAGUGUGAAAUUCUUCCUCCAGUUAAGCUUCCGAGCCGAAAGGGAGUCUCGAACAAUAAAGAGGUCGUCGGGAAUCGGGGAAAGAAUAUUCCGAACUGCAAAAACAACGCAAAAAGAAAAAAGAUUCAGUAAGGGAAAAUGCAAAAAAAACAGUUCCGAGCCGAGGCAAAGCUUCGGAUCGGCUACCAAGUGUCCCCAAGCGGUCUUGGUUUUUUUAAUGUAAUCCUCGCCGACCGACGCCUCGUUCACCAAGACAUAGAAGAAGCGUUCGGUCCAAAACUGAAACUUGCUUGGAAAACCACCUAUAAUCCGGCGAUUGGACUUGUUAGAAAUAUAGAAUCUAUCUCCCUUCGGAGCUUUCCUGAUUUUCAGCAAGUUCAGUGAUGUGCUCGUGUCAACUACGUGAGGGAACAAGUUUUACCCUUAACAGGACAAAUGAAAGCCGCAAGUGCACAGCUAAUCAGUUAUAGUAUUUAGGGAUCGAAUCCACAGAGAUUUGUGUGCCUGGUAUUCUUCUACGGUUUUUUAACUUUAUGUCUAGACUAAAUUAGUUUUUAAGGUUGGUUGUUUUUCUUGCGAAUUAAACUAAAACAAAAGAAAGCAAAUAAAUCUAUCCUAAAAAACAGGUAAGAAAAUCGAAUGAAAUGCAAUUAGAAUAGGCAAAUAUCGAAUGAAAGACUAAUAAGGCAAGUAAGAUAUCGCAUGAAAAGUAAAUAAAGCAAGUAAAUAAUGAACUAAGGAAAUUGAAAUGCAGGUCUAAAAAAAGGCAAGUAAAAAUUGAUGGAAUUGUAAACUAUGGCUAAAAACGCUGAGCUUUUGGGAACUCUAAGGGAUCAUAAUCGGUUUUAACACUAAGGUAGAUAGAUUGGGAUUGACAGAUAACGAUAUAUGGGUUCUAGAGCUAGAGUACGGCGGUAUGACUACGUCACUGUCGUGAUCAUAACCAACUGCUUCUCGCAACCCUGACCAGUAGGUUUCCACUCUGGCCCUGGAAGGGAGAGAACGCAAGAGCUGCACAAGACUCGUCAAUACUCACGAUCUCGCCGCAGGUAGGUUUCCACUCCUACGGAAAAAUCGCCUGUUUCAUUCUAGGGCUGAUACUUAAUGAAAACUUUCGCAACACUAACUAUCUAGAUCAGAUACUAGGUGAUCAAUCAAGCAUACAUGCAAUAAGAACAAGAAUAAACAGAGAACAGGUCGAAAUCCCAGAUCUAUAAACCUAGAUGUCUUAAUCGAUUAUGAGAUCCCCUUUCGGGAACCCUAAGCCCAACUCGGGAUCUACUCAGACAUGGCUGAGUUCGACAUCAUCAUUGGUUUUAAUAAAAGUAAUGAAAAACAGUAAAGAAAAGAGAUAAAGAAAGCUUCUCUAUUGAAGAACUCGGACUUGAACAAUCUUCUACAAAAAUCUCAUAAAAAGGGCUAAAGGAAAAGGGUUUCUGUAAAAUAUGAAGGGUUCUCCUUAAAAACGACCUAAAUGACAUGUAUUUAUAGUCUCCAAUACUCCAUGGUCUCUAGGGUUCCAGAAUUGAGGCUGAGAAUGACUUUGGGCUUCAGAUAAGUGGGCUUUAACUCGGAGAUUGAUUGCCGCGGUCGGGAGUGUUGUGACCGCAGCAAUUGGCUUGUUGGCCGCGGUCGGGAAGCUUCUGACCGCGGCAAAUAGCUUGUUGGCCGCGGUCGGGUGAGUUGCUGACCGACUUCGAAUGGCUCCGGGGAUAAUGAAAUAUCUUGAGAUCCAACCGUUGGAAUGUCUCCAAACCAAGUGCAUUUGAAAGCUGGUUGAUUCUUCUAUAAGUUGUCCAAUGUUGAGGGUGAUCAGACGGUGAGAAGGUCUUCGUCUCUCCAUGAGAGUUCUGACGGUCUGCAUUUAUCCAAAAGAGUCUUUUUGUUCCAUUUUGUGCCUCUUUAUCCCAAAUUACCUGAAAAGUCUUUUAAAAUCUGGAAACAUAGAAAUCCUUUGAAAACCUUUGAAAAUGGAGUAAAAACACCUGUAAAAGAUAUUAAAAUAAUCCAUAAAAAUGGUCAAAAUCCGGUGUUAUCAUUCAGCAGGUGAUUCAGUUCGAUAUCAAGCCUGCACUCAAAGCUUCGAACCAAAAUGCCAAUCAUAUGCCGUAGACCCCUCGGCAUGAUCUGCCUAAUUGAGAUCCCAUGUUUCCAGAGGUAUUCAAGGAUAACUCCAGGGAUCGGGAACCAGAGAAAUCAAAGCUCGAAGAACGCCUCGUACAGAGUGAAGUGAUUCUCGGGAGGCUUGUCGUCUCGGUCGUUCUUAUCUGGAACGAUAAACUCCACCGCCUCGGAUAUCUCGAAACAACGCCUGAACGCCUCGAGUGAGUCAGGGGAGGAAUGCGUAGAACCAGGCGGGUCAGGUUUUUGUCUUUUCACCCGUUGCCUUCGCCCAGAUGAAGAAGCGCCUCAGGACGCCAUGAAACGUUCUAAUUCAUGCUUUGCCUCGAACAGAUCAAAGGGAAACGCCUCCUCCUCGGCUUUUACUGCAGCACGAUUAACGUCUUCGUCAAGAGCGGGACCCUGAGGCUGGCUCGUCGAAACCGACGGCUCGUCAUCUAGAGAGCGGGCGCCUGACGGAUUUGAAUGAUUCGACGCCUCGUCGCUUUCAGGUGAACGGUUGGAAGGGCUCGGCGAAAUGGAUGCCUCGGAAGAUUCUGUUGCACUUCUCGCCUCGGCAUUUACAUGGCUCGGUUCGUAGUUAAAAAGCGAAUCCAACGAAUCAUCAGAACGGUUCGACAUGAUUUACAGAUUAUACGGGAAUUACAAGGUUACACGGCGAACUUCCAUCGGAAAAAGAUCUAGAGCGGCGGAGACCUCAGAACCCUAGACGGAAAAUAAAUAAACAAGACAGAGAAAGAAGAGAGAAGGGAGAGCUACCUUUUAGUGAAAACGAGUGGAUCUGAAGAUUAUGAGAAGGAACAAAAGAGCUCACCUAUUUAUAGAAAAACCGAAGCGCGUGGGUUAUGUGUGAACCUCGGGAGACCGUCCAACAGCGCGUGGGAUCCGCGGCGUAUUAACUAGCUCCAACUGCGUCGGUUACACGCGCCAAUAAAUCAGGAAAAUUCUUUCGGAAGACCAACGGUUGGGAUACCUGAGUUUUCAGCCGACAUCUCGCCACAGUAAACGCCUCGUCGUUAACAAAACGGCUCGGCAUUAACUUUUUCUUGAAACGCCUCAUCGUUAUCAAAAUGGCUCGGCAUGACUUUCUCAAAAACGCCUCGUCAUUUAUUCGGCUCGGCAUGACCUUCUCAAAAACGCCUCGUCGUUUAUUCGGCUCGGCAUAAUAUUCACAAGUCGCCUCGCGUACAACCCUCUUCUAAGGAUAUCUUCCCAAACAGCAUAGACCGCGCCACGCCUCGUCGUUAAACUCGAAUCACGGCUCGGCAUUAUCAACACAAACGCCUCGUCGUUAAACUUGAAUCACGGCUCGGCAUUAUCAACGUAAACGCCUCGUCGUUAAACUAGAAUCACGCCUCGGUAUCCUUGACACCCUCUGGGAAUGCCUCGGCACUUUUUCGAAAAAGCGUCUCAUCACUAACGAGGCGGCUCGGCACAUUCUUCACAUAACCUCGCCAAAACGGCUCGCUACUACACACUGUCGAAGGGCGGCUCGGCAUCUUUAUUUCCAAAACGCCUCACUUGGGACUGUGUCGCAACAGCUCGACUCGAUGGUCUAUCCUAUGAACCUCGUCACUCUCGCCUCCGAAACUGACGAGCUGGGGGGCUAACUGUUGGGGUCGGUUUCACCCUAAUCGGUUUAAACCAUCUCAAUAACAUUGGAGAGCCGAUUCCGACAAGGAGAACCGGUGACCUGUCAAAAAUGGGCCGAGCCCCACAGAAGAAGGCCAAGCUCAAGUGGGCCGAGCCGUGAGGUGAAAAUGGGUGAGCCGCGUAUGAGAGCAGACGGGCCGAGCUGUGUCGUGAGGUAUGGGCCGAGCCGCACUUCAACAUGAUUGGACCGAGCCGCGCCUCACGAGUUAGGCCAAGUCACGUCUCAACUCGAAUGGCAAGUGGGCCGAGCCAUGGAGAAGGUUAGAUGGGCCGAGCUGUGAGAAGAACGGUGAGCGGGCCUAGCAGCGUGAGAGGAGGCAUGGGCCGAAUCGCUUCCCUGUGUGUUGGGCCGAGCCGGUUUUCCAAGAUGGGCCGAACCAAGGCUUUAGAAGACGAAAGCCCACAGAAGCCCUAGGUGAAGUAUUAUGACGGUGGCCGCACGAAGCGAUAAGGAAAUAUACCUAAAAUCUCUCCCAAGAUUCUCGGGAGAGGCGGUUUAAGAAGUUAGUAUAAAUAGGAGAUUUUUACGAUUCAUUAUGUAACUUUUGCCACCCUAAGCAAUAAGACCUAAACACUUUAACAGCAAUAAAAAUCCUCUUUUGAUCUUACUGUUCUUGCGAUUACCCUAGAUGUUUCGGAUCCCUUAGUUUUUCCCUUACAAAUUUUUGGUUGUGCGAGUUUUGGCUCACACAGGUAUCAGAGCUAAAUCGAUCUCUAGGAUUAUGGUUAUUUUCUUAUUAGAUUAGGAGAUAUCUAGUUUUAAUAGGAAAAGGAAAGUGGCUUAGCAAAGUUGUGCAAACCACUAUAUAUAUGUAAGUCAUUGAUGAUGUUGCAUCUAAGAGUAUUCGGAUGCAUCAGUUUUGCAAAGACAGAGGCUCAACACUUGAAGAAGCUGGAUGAUAGAUCACGAGUACUUGUUCACUUAGGAACGAAACCAGGAUCAAAACCAAGAAAAUAGUUGUGAGCAGGGAUGUGAUCUUUGAUGAAAGCAAAGGCUGGAAGUGGGGUGAGAAGGAAAUCAGUAACAACACUGGAAUUUCUAUAAUCAGUUUUGGAGAACACAAUUAUAAUAACUCAAGGGGAGAUGACCAUGAUCUCGAAGAAGAAACAGAGGAAAAGGAGGAAGAGAGUUCCGAAGAAGAGGUCACUGAGCAUGAAAUACAAGUUCCCAAACCCGAGACAGAGAUGAUAUAUCAAGGAGAAGAAGUUGAACAAGGACUAAGGAGAUCAACAAGGUCAAGAGUAAGCCCGAGUUAUCUCGAUGACUUUGUCACUUUAGCCAAGAUUGAUAGUGAACACCUAUUGCUACUUAUAAACGAAGAGCCAUGGGAUUGCAAUGAGCAAAAGGCUGAUAUCUUAACCAAGGCACUAGGAAGAAACAAGUUCAAGGAGAUGAGAUAUCUCAUUGGAGUUCUAGGUGUGUCACAAAAGGAUUUCAAGCUUAAGGGGGAGAAUGUUGGAAUAAGCUUGAAAGAAACUUGAAGUGCAACUUUCCUAAUCCUAAUCAAAGUGUGUUUUCUAGAAGGUUAGGAUUAGAAAAGGAAAUUUAGGAGUUAUCUAAAAAGGAAAUUUGUUUCUCUAUUGAAAUUAGGAGUUAUCUAUUCCAUUCUCUAUAUAAGAGUUGCAAAAUUUGUGGUAGACAUUAUGAGUUGAGAGAGUGAUUAAGAGAGACUUUAGUUUUUGAGUGAUUUUUAAACAAUGGAGAUACCAGGUAAUUAAUCUGGUAUCCCUUUCUCUCUGUUUGAAUGUUCAAACAAUUAUCUGGAGCUUCCCCAGAGCUUAUAAACAGGCUAGUACCAGAGCACGUUAGGCGACAGAUGAGUGGAGGCUUUCCAUUUCAAGCUGCUCCGUAUAAACGACUUCGAAACCAAGAUGCUUUGUUCUUGGUAGAUAAGCCCAUCAAGCUUUUGCUUGGGGAUGUAGAAUUUCAAUUAUUUUAGGGGCCAUUUAGUAUAAAUAUUAGUUGGUUAAGAUGGUGCAGUGAUCUAUGAAAAAAGUGUUUAUUUGUCAUUGUAUUUGGCAUAUUUUAUUUUUAAUCAACAUUAUAUUAUAGAAAUAACUUUUCUUAAACAAUUUAAAAUAAAACAAAUGAAACAAAAACUACAAAACUCCAUCGUCCACUUUACUGUUCGCAUCUACUAUUCAAAAUAAAGAAAAUAACAUAUAUAUUCUAAGUGGAGGUUAUUGGGGAUAAAACGUUUCCUAAUUUUAGUAACAACUAAUAGCAUUUGCAGAUUUUUGCAAGAAAAAAGAAGUUAAAUCCAUUUCUGAAUUGGAAAAAAGGUUUGAAAAUUUCUCAAAACAGAAAGAAAAGAAAAUAGUUAUAAAAAAAAAAGCAUAUAUGUAUUUCCAUUCCUAGACGAUUCUUUACCGAUCUUGCGUGGUGAAAAAAGUAAUACUCAUAUUUUUUCUAUGUUUGGUGUUGAAGAGAUUUUCCAAUAAUCUAUUAUAAAAGAUAAACUUACUAUUACGAAAGAAAAAUUAGGAAAAAAAAUCUGUAUAUACAUUGUUCACUCGAGCUAAAACUAUAGAAACUAAUGAAUAAUUCAACAAAAUCAGGAUUCUUUCUAGUAAUGAUGAAACUUAUUACAAAUAAGAAAGAGUACAAAUAUAUGUGAUCCCAGCUUACAAUGAACCUGCUCCCUACUUAGCAAAAACAAAACUUUUCCAACAAUGUUUUCUAUUCUAGUUGUAUUUAUUCCCCUAUCUGGUUAACCCCUCUACUUCAUUGUGACUUUGUAUGUUCUUCACUUUCUGGUCAAUAUAGAUAUGCUUCUUGUACAAUUACAUGUAAUCCCAGUUUCCCACUCCGAAACCAAACUUUCCCACAUAAGGUCAGCAAUCUAAAAUCUUAUAUAAACCAUCAUAAACAUAAACUUUAGAGCUAACACUGUUUUCAUACUUAAACCCUCUAACCACCCGUACCUCAAUAUCAUGGUACAUACUCCUCUCUAUUGCUAGAUUCCCACUUUCUAGAGCUUCUGAUGUUGAAUCUGCCUGUGGAGCUUAUCUUGACCACCGUGAUCUACCAGAACAUCUCCAUGUGUCUUCAUCAUCCUCGUAAUUACCUGAGACGAUAAUGCUGGUGGCUAUUGGUUCAUCUCCUGUGUAAGCCCACCAAGAACAGUUUCAUGACGGUAAAAUAAGACGUCGCUGAUCUCAACCCGAAGGGAUGGAACCCACUAAGUAUUUAUCCUGGGGUUGAGAUCGGUCGACGUGUUCUUUUACCGUCAUGAACUGUGCUUGGUGGGCUUACACAGCCAGCUACAACGUAGCUCCAAAGGUGAACCGAUAGUCAUCAGCAUUGUCAUCUUGGUAAUUACGAGGAUGAUGAAGACAUACGUGGCUUGUUACAUUAGUCCCAGAAAAGAACCAAAUGUUCUUUCUACAUCUCUUAUCAUAUAAGUCUUAUUGUCUGUUCUUUCUCUCUCUCUGUUUUGCUCCUAUGGCAUUUUUGUCUUGCUUUAGCUUGGGGUAAUAUCUCGAAUCAAUGUUCUUGUUACUCCCCUUCUCUUAUCAUAGGAAACUCAUUGUCUGUACCAUUUUCUAGUUCACAUGCCAAAGUCUUACCGUUUUAGAGUUUUCCUUAAACGCAAUCAUUUUGUAUUCUCUCUCUCUCCGUUUUGCUCAUAUGGCAUUAAUCUGUUGCAAAAAUGAUGCAGAUGAAGAAUAUUUUGACAAAACAUAAACCUUUCUCUGCUCGUUCGCUGUUCUGUCUUUCCUUCUCUCUACGAUAUCUGCAAGGCAAGAUAAAUGUUCUUUCUACUUCUCUUAUCAUAGGAGUCUCAUUGUCUGUUCUUGCAUGCCCACAUGCCGAAGUCUUAAUAUAUUUGAGUAUUUUCGAAGUUUGUUUGGUUGCUCAAUUAAACCAAUCGCAUUCAGUGAAGAAUUAAUGUGGAUUCCAUUUUCUAAACCAGACCCAUUUAUUGUGAUAGAUAAUACAUAUUUGGUAAGUUACAAACAAUAGAGAUGAAAAUUGCCCUAAGUAAAAAGGAAGAAGAAAUUAAAUAUCUAUCACACUACAAGACAUGUUUGGACCACACAAAAACUCAGGGUUUAAUAGUUUGAUCGUGUGUGAUCAAACUAACAUAUUUUUGAUUUUUGUUUUACAUUUGAUUUAUUUUGUGUGGUAUCAACCAAUGUUCUAUUUGUUUUACAAAGAACGAUAGGAGUCUCUUCCAAAAUUUCAUUCUACAUUUCAUAAUUCUUAUUGCAAAAGUUCACGAUAUCUUUUUUUGUUUGUCAUUCAUUUUAAUUUCUAGGCUGAGCUCAAAAUUUCUCGAAAAAUUUGUUGUAACAGUAUGGAGGCAGAAGCUACAACUCUUCUUUGGAUCAUGAUAUGUUUGGAUAAUCUUGGCUAUGAAGAGGUAAUUUCCGAGAGUGAUUCAAAGAUAUUGGAGAAAGCGGUAUAAGCUGAACCUCGAGAAUGGUCAAGGUUUAUAGUCUAUACCUGAGAAAUCAACAAGACAAGAAAAAUAUUAAUUCGACCAACCAUCACUUUCCAAGGAAGACGAGCAAACUAAUGUGUUGAUCUUACAGCCAAUAAAACCUCUUCAUAUGAAGUUCAUUAUGCAUUCUUGAUUAUAUUGUACGUACUCUUUGGUUGAGAAGGAGAAACGAAUUUAUAUGAAAUAUGUUUGAGCUCGAAAAAAUAAGAAAAAUAUGGCAUUAUGUUAAGGAAUGAUGAUAACUCUCCGAAAUUAACAGCAACAAAAAAAUGGAUGACAACUCCUCGUUUACUGGUUUGGAUUCUAUACUAUUACAUUUCGGUUAUUUUCUCAUUUUCACACUUUUCCAUUAUUUUAUAACAUGUUAUGAUGUCAAAAAGAAAUUACAACAUGAUAUAGUGAAAUACAAACGAUAUAACUAUUAAAGUAGCAUUAUUUUAUGGCAUUUUAAAUUUUUAAUUUUGGAUGAUGUUUACUUUUUUUAAUUAAUUUUAUUUCAAUUAGGUAUGUCUCAAGUGGUUAUUUAAAUUCUCUUUCGUUUCUAACAUAAAAUUUUGUUUUAUGUUUAUGAAACUUUUCGCCCGCGUAAAGCGCGGGCUAAAUACCUAGUUUAAUAUUUAAAAUGACACAAUCGUUUUACCAAAAUUUUUUACGUAUAGGAAAUGAUAAAAGAAAAACAUUUACUUGUAAAAUUUUAAAAAUAUAUACUAGAACAAAAAACCUGCUUGUACACGCAGGUGAUCAUCUAGUAGUUAUAAAAAUAGCAUAAUUGUAUGUAUUUCACACUCGUAGACAAUUCUUUACCGAUCUUGCGUAGUGAGAAAAAUAAUACUCAUACUAUUGUUUAUGUCUGGUGUUAAAAAGAUUUUCCAAUAAUUUAUUACAAAAAAAUAAAUUUAAUUUUCGAAAGAAAAAUUAGGAAAAAAUUUAUAUACAUGUUCAUUUGAAUUAAAACUAUGGAAACUAAUGAAGAAUUCAACAAAACCAGGAUUCUUUCUAGUAAUGAUGAAACUUAUUACAAAUAAGAAAGAGUACAAGUACAUGUAAUCUCAGUUUACAAUGAAUCUGCUCACUACUAAAAAAAAAAUGUUUUUUCCAACAAUGUCUUCUGAACCCUUUGAUCUGCUACUAUUAAUCCGAGAAGCAGAAACAUGUUUUCAGCCAAGUGAGAAUUCUUGAUUAUACCCACAUAUCUGCAUCUCCUAAAAUUGAGGUUCCAUACAUUUUCAUUGCUGGAUGCUUGUGAACGCAUACCAAGAUUUGGAUGCUCGUCGAGAGGUUGGGUCCUCUUCUAAAUCCAACACAGGUGAAUGGUUGAGAACUGGAGUGGAUGUUGUUGACUUAAGCAGCAGCAACAACAACAAUACAGAUAAAGCAAUCAAAAGACCAUUCUUGGAUUUGGGUGUCGUUUUUCCUACCAUCACCGUUAGCAACANNNNNNNNNNNNNNNNNNNNNNNNNNNNNNNNNNNNNNNNNNNNNNNNNNNNNNNNNNNNNNNNNNNNNNNNNNNNNNNNNNNNNNNNNNNNNNNNNNNNCUGAAAUCUUCGGUUUGGGGAUUGAGCCUGCUUAAGUCCGCAUUACACAAGCACAUGUAACAUCUCAGAAAAAUAACUUCAAAAUACGGCCAGCAGAUCAGCAGGAUACCGCUUUAUCGAUCUCCUUCACUUAACCGCGUAAUGAUUUUAAAGGCAUGGGGAGACAGUAAAAGCAAGAUUUGAACAUUAGAGUAUAUGUAUGGUUUCUGUUCCUCAGUUUACAUCAUCAGCAUCCACUCCAGUUCUCAACCAUCCACCUGUGUUGGAUUUAGAAGAGGAACCAACCAACCACUUAUAUCCAUUCUGCUCCUGGUGUCUUCCACAGAGAUGUGAAACUACAGAACCUUUUGGUAAGUUGAUCUUAUUGUGGGUUUGUCUUCGGUAACCAUUACUAGAUUGUAAUCCAUUUCUCUGGUGCGUUCUGUAGGUUGAUCCCCUCACUCAUCAGUGUAAGCUGUGUGAUUUUGGAAGUGCAAAAGUAUUGGUAAGGGUUUACCUUAUUUAUGUUGUUUUAUUAUUUUUCCACUGCUUAUGUGUUCUGUCUCAUGAAAUCAAUUGCACCUUAUUUGUUUUCAUGAUCUUUGCAACAUGUGACUAUUGACUUUAGGUGAAAGGUGAACCAAAUAUAUCAUAUAUCUGCUCUCGGUAUUACCGAGCUCCAGAACUCAUCUUUGGGGCCACAGAGUCUACAUCCUCCAUAGAUAUAUUGUCUGCUGGUUUUGUUUUGGCAGAGCUCCUUCUUGGUCAGGUUAGUGUAAACUAAUUUAUCCAUUAAGUAUCUUGAGAACUAAAGCAUCUCUCCAAUAUCUUUGACAAUCAUUUGAUAUUUAUUUAUCUUCAGCCGUUAUUCCCCCAAAAUUCUGUGGACCAGCUAGUGGAGAUCAUCCAGGUGAAGUCUCAUUUUGAUUUAGAGUUUACCUUGGCGUCAUUAUAGAAAAUUCCUAUAAUCUAAUAGAUUUUUCAUUAUGAUUAAAAUUUCGUUCUGUUUAGGUUCUUGGUACUCCAACUCAAGAAGAAAUCCGAUGCAUGAAUCCAAACUUUACAGACUUUAGGUUCCCACAAAUCAAAGCUCAUCCAUGGCAUAAGGUAUUUUAUAUGCAUGUUACGUUCUAACUUUUCUGAUCAUACAAUAGCUUAGUAGAAAAAUGAAAAGCUGAAACAAUACACAUACUACUUUAUGACCUCCAGGUUUUCUAAUAAGCGGAUGCCUCCAGAAGACAUUGACCUUGCAUCUCGGCUUCUUCAACAUUCAUCGAGCCUACGUUGCACUGCGGUCAGUAUCUCUAAACGACCAAGUAUUCUUAGUUGUUAGAGUGGUUCUCUCUGUUUGGACCUGCACUGUUUAAUGAUGCUGGGGCUUUUUAACUGACAUGUGUUAUGUUUCCGUGUCUAAAAAGCUCGAAGCAUGUGCUCAUCCAUUUUUCAAUGAACUACGUGAGCCCAAUGCUCGUCUUCCAAACGACCGACCUCUACCACCGUUGUUCAACUUCAAACAAGAGGUACGUUAGUCCACUUUCCUUAAACCAACCAUUCUUAAACCAAACCAUAACAGAUGUUAAGUUCAAACAGUUUCUUAAUCUUGUAUCUCUCUCUGUUUAAAUGUUAAAACAGUUAUCUGGAGCUUCCCCAGAGCUUAUAAACAGGUUAGUCCUAGAGCAUGUUAGGUGACAGAUGAGUGCAGGUCCAAACAGAGAGAACCAGGUUAGUACUAGAGCACUGUUCAAGCUGGUCUGUAGAAACAACUUCGAAACCAAGAUGUUUUGUUCUGGGUAAAAAAACCCAUCAAGCAUUUGCUUUGGGCACUAGAAUUUCAAUUAUUUUAGAGGCCAUUUUGUAUAAAUAUGAGUUGGUUAAUAUGGUGUAGUGGUCUAUGAAAAAUGUGUUUAUUUGUCAUUGUGUUUGGCAUAUUUUAUUUUUAAUCAGCAUUAUAAUUAUAUUAUAGAAUUAGCUUUUCUGAAACAACUUAAAACAGAACAAAUGAAAUAAAAACUAUAAAACUCCAUUGUCCAUCUUACUGUUUACAUCUACUAUUCAAAAUGAAGAAAAUAACCUAUAUAUUCUUAGGGGAGGUAUUUGGGGAUAACACGUUUUUUAAUUUGGAUAACGACUGAUAGCAUUUGCAGAUUUUUGCAAGAAAAAAGAAGUUAAAUAUAUUUCUGAAUUGGGAAAAAGGUUUAAAACAUUCUCAAAAAAAAAAGAAAAGAAAAUAGUUAUAAAAAAACAGCAUAUAUGUAUUUCCAUUCAUAGACGAUUCUUUACCUAUCUUGCGUGGUGAAAAAAUAAUACUCAUAUUUUUGUCUAUGUUUGGUGUUGAAGAGAUUUUCCAAUAAUCUAUUAUAAAAGAUAAACUUACUUUUACGGAAGAAAAUUUAGGAAAAAAAUCUAUAUAUACAUUGUUCACUCGAGCUAAAACUAUGGAAACUAUAAUGAAGAAUUCAACAAAAUCAUGAUUCUUUCUAGUAAUGAUGAAACUUAUUACAAAUAAGAAAGAGUACAAAUAUAUGUAAUUCCAGCUUAUAAUGAACUUGCUCACUAUUUAGCAAAAAAAACUUUUUCCAACAAUGUUUUCUAUUCUAGUUUUAUUUAUCUCCCUAUCUGGUUAAGCCCUCUACUUCAUUGUAUAUUCUUCACUUUCUGAUCAAUAUAUAUGCUUCUUGUACAGUUACAUGUAAUCCCAGUUUCCCACUCCAAAACCAAACUUCUCCACAUAAGGUCAGCAAUCUGAAAUCUUAUAUAAACCAUCAUAGACAUAAACCUUAGAGCUAACACUGUUCUCGUACAUAAACCCUCUAAUCACCCGUACCUCAAUAUCAUGGUACACUAAAUUCCCACUUUCUAGAGCUUCUAAUGUUGAAUCUGCCUGUGGAGCUUAUCUUGACCACCAUGACCUGUAUAAACCAGAACAUCUCUAUGUGUCUUCAUCAUCCUCGUAAUUACCUGAGACGACAAUGCUGGUGGCUAUGGGUUCAUCUCCUGUGUAAGCCCACCGAGCACAGUUCAUGACGGGCAAAGAAUUUGUUGUUAAUCACGAUUACAGCUUGUAAACUUUUUCAGGUUCCGUUCUCGGCACAAGUAGUACAAGUUGUGAAUAUUCUUUAAUCUAGAAUGAGACUGGAACACCUUAACUCCACAGCCUCUUAAUCCUAUGUGCACAAGAUUCGAUACGCAAUUACGUUAGCCUGUCACAUGUCGACGUUAUUAACUAUCAUAUUAGAAUUUAGCCAGGUUAUUCUAAUCUGGAAAUUUUUCGUAAUAUAUGAGUGUUGAUGCGGACCAUCUGAAAAUGUCUAUUUAAUCCCAUGUGGACGUCACACNNNNNNNNNNNNNNNNNNNNNNNNNNNNNNNNNNNNNNNNNNNNNNNNNNNNNNNNNNNNNNNNNNNNNNNNNNNNNNNNNNNNNNNNNNNNNNNNNNNNAUGAACUGUGCUCUCAGUGGGCUUACACAGCCAGCUACAACGUAGCUCCAAAGGUGAACUGAUGGCCACCAGAAUUGUGGUCUCAGGUAAUUUGAGGAUGAUGAAGACGUAUGUGGCUUGUUACAUUAGUCCCAGCAAAGAACCAAAUGUGAAGGCGCAUUUGGAGCUGUGUAAGCUAAAGCAUCCAGGAGAGAACUAUCUCGGUAAUAUUAGAGUGAUGAGAGUUUAGGAUUGGAAGAAUUGUAUUGAAUGUACAUAGUAGCUACAUUUAUAUAGAGAAUGAAUUAACCUAAUAAUCUAACUAAUAAACUCAUAUAAAGAUAUUUACAAAUCUCUAGAAUAUAUUCACAAUAUCUUCUUUUAUCAUAUGGAUCUUCUAGAUCCUUCUAUACGCCCCCUCAAGCUCAAUGUGUGAUGGAGCGAAGCGGAAUCAAUGGUUUGAGAUUGACUUCAGAUUGAUCAAGUAAGAGCUGGUGUAUUCUUUGGACUUUGUGGAAGACGUUGAAUGCACGUGCUGAACAAGCGGAUGGGAGGACAACAAACCAUGACAACGAGGCGACAAAGAUGCAAGAGAGAUGCGAUAUGAUUGCGGUGAAAGCCUCAAUAGCAUGAAGAACGGUGUUGACCAUGGCGGUUUUGAGCCAGUGGGAUGUGGCAGUGGAAACUGUGCUUGGGUGGAGAUAGGCUCGUGACUUAGUUUCUUGAGGAAGAAGAAAUAGAGUUUAUUUUCUUCCUUUUUAUGUUUUUUUUUAAUUUUUUUUAUUGAAAGAACACGAUGAAAACUUUUUUUAUAUAUAUGACUGAAAUCAAAAAUCAAAAAUUGGAACGAAAACUUGUAGAACAUGUUUUUUUUAAUAGAAUAAAAAAUACAACGAGAAACCAAAAAGAAAAAAAAAUAUAUAUAAAAUAUCUAAUUUUUAUUUUCUUUUGAAUGUAUCAAACCUAAUUAGAACGUAGAAAAAUAAAACCAACGCAGCCACUUAUUAUUUAUUUUUUUGUGAAUAAGAAAAAGAGACAGAUAGAGAUGGGAAGGGGAAACAGAGAGGAAGUAGACCAGCCAUUUGUGUAAGAAGAAGCAAAUGACGGUGAAAAAGAAGAAAUGUAGAGAGAAAAAGGAGUUUGAUCGUUAGAUCUAUAACUCGGAAACACUCUGGCUUAGAUUCAGAGGUCCAUGAUAUAAUUAAAUUUUAGAAGCACUUGGCUUAAGAAAAAAAAUGAAAAAGAAGUUUGAUCACCAGAUCAAAACUUUGGAGCAAACCUGCUAUGAUACCAUAUUAGAGUGAUGAGAGUUUAUGAUUGGAAUAAUUGUAUAUUGACUCACAUUGAUUGAAUGUACAUAGUAGAUACAUUUAUAUAGAGAAUGAAUUAACCUAAUAAUCUAACUAAUAAAAUCAUAUAAAGAUAUUUACAAAUCUCUAGAAUAUAUUCACAAUAUCUUCUUUGAUCAUAUGGAUCUUCUAGAUCCUUCUAUAAUCCGAGCUAAGCUUGGACUAUGGGUCAGCAGAUGAACUGAACGGGAAGCUCUUAAUCUGUAACUGAGUAGCUUCUAUAGCUUGUUUCUGUAUUUUUCUAUGUCUUUACCGAGAUAGCUCUCCGGGAUGCUUUAGCUUGAGGCAUUUUCUCAAAUCAAUGUUCUUUCUACAUCUCUUAUCAUAGGAGUCUCAUUGUCUGUAUUCUCUCUCUCUCUGUUUUGCUCCUAUGGCAUUUCUUUCUUGCUUUAGCUUGGGGUAAUAUCUCAAAUCAAUGUUCUUGCUACUCUCCAUCUCUUAUCAUAGGAGUCUCAUUGUUUGUACCAUUUGCUAGUUCACAUGCCAAAGUCUUACCGUUUUAGAGUUUUCCUUAAAUGCAAUCAAUUUUGUAUUCUCUCUCUCUCUCUGUUUUGCUCCUAUGGCAUUAAUCUGUUGCAACAAUGAUGCAGAUGGAGAAUACUUUGACAAAUUAACAUAAACCUUUCUCUGUUAGUUCGCUGUUCUGUUUUUCCUUCUCUCUUCGAUAUCUGCAAGGCAAGAUAAAUGUUUUUUCUACAUCUCUUAUUAUAGGAGUCUCAUUGUCUGUACUUGCAUGCUCACAUGCCAAAGUCUUGCCAUAUUUGAGUAUUUCCGAAAUUUGUUUUGUUGCUAAAUUAAACCAAUCACAUGAUUCAGUGAAGAAUUAAGGUAGAUUCCAUUUUAUAAACCAGACCAAUUUAUUGUGAUAGAUAAUACAUAUUUGGAAAGUUACAAAUAAAAGAAAUGAAAAUUGCCCCAAGAAAAAAAGAAGAAGAAAUGAAAUAUCUAUCACACUACAACAAGACAUGUUUGGACCACACACAAACUCAAGUGUAAUUUAAUCGUGUGUGAUAACUAACAUCUUUUUAAUUAUUUUUGCUUUUACAUUUGAUCUAUAUUGUGUGGUAUCAACCAAAUGUUUUAUUUGUUUUACAAAAACCGAUAUGAGUCUCUUCCAAAAUUUCAUUCUACAUUUCAUAAUUCUUAUUGUAAAAGUUCACGAUAUCUAUUUUUUGUUUGUCAUUCAUUUUAAUUUCUAGGCUGAGCUCAAAUUUCUCGAAAAUUCUGUUGUAACAUUAUGGAGGCAGAAGCUAUAACUCUUUUUUGGAUCAUGACAUGUUUGGAUAAUCUUGGCUAUGAAGAGGUAAUUUUUGAGAAUGAUUCAAAGAUAUUGGUGAAAGCGGUAGCUGAACCUCGAGAAUGGCCAAGGUUCAUAGUUUAUACCAGAGAAAUUAACAUGACAAGUAAUAAAAUAAUUUGACCAACUAUCACUUUCCAAGCAAGGAAGACAAGCCAACCAAUGUGUUGAUCUUACAGCCAAUAAAACUUCUUCAUAUGAAGUUUUUUUUUUAAGUUCUUCAUAUGAAGUUCAUUAUGCAUUCUUGAUUAUAGUACUCUUUGGUUGAGAAGGAGAAACGGAUUUAUAUGAAAUAUGUUUGUGCUCGAAAAACAAAAAAAAUGUGGCAUCAUGUUAAAAUGAUGAUAAUUCUCCUAAAUGAACAACAACAAAAAAAAAUGGAUGAUAACUCCUCGAUUACUGGGUUUGAUUCUAUACUGUAUUACUUGUCGGUUAUAUAUUCUCAUUUCCAAUUAACUUUUCCAUUUUAUUAUAACAUAUUAUGACGUCAAAAAGAAAUUAUAACAUGGUGAAAUACAAACGAUAGAACUAUUUAAGUGGCAAUAAUAAGAUGAUGUAAGAAUCUGAUCUGAUACUACAGCAAAUAGAUAUUUGUGCUUGGGUAUGCCUAGAUAUUAUAAGCAAGUUGGUCAUAAAUACAAAUACGUUCUGAAAAUGUACCAAAGAGAUAUCUAGCAACCUCCUCCACCACCACCACCGCCACAACCUCCUCCUCCACCACAACCUCCUCUACCACCACAACCUCCUCUACCACCACAACCGCCUCCACCGCCAGACGCUCCAAAAAUAUAUGGUCUAUGUUUCGUCUCAUUUUUUUCAGAUUUUUUUUCACCGGUGCAAACAAAUACGGCCAUGGCUAUUACGGAGAAGGUGGCUGCAACCACCAAUAUCCCACAAACUAAACCAAAGCCACUGGUUCGAACGUCGCUCAAUAUGCUUCUCACCAUAUUCUCUUGUGUAUAUUUUGGUUAAGUUUGAGACUUUGGAUUCGGUUUUGGUAAGGAUUUAUAUAUGCUUUUGGAUGUGUGAGAAAUAAAAAGCAUUAUUUGUAGGUAAUUCUUUAAUGGACAAUGUUGGCUUACCGCGUACGUUAGGUGUGUCGGUGUGUGGUUACGUAAGAGUAAUACGUAAAAAUCUACAAGUUUCUUUGAUGUCAUGUAAGAAAAUUUUGGUUUAUAUGAGGUGGCUACUUUUCAACGUGCUUAGAUUUGGUUCAAUAUAAGCGAUGCUUAAAAGUCUUAUGAUAAGGUCCCUCUGGCUACUUUUCAACGUGCUUUAACAUUUGGUUCUAUAUGAGGGAUGCUUAAUAGUCUUAUGAUAA
This 43621-nucleotide long non-coding RNA is filed under the name Eutrema salsugineum. Its description in RNAcentral is "long non-coding RNA (ESAL_LNC001937)". The stretch from base 18001 to 18105 matches the Rfam family "Plant small nucleolar RNA R71". The record is from RNAcentral. Lineage: Eukaryota; Viridiplantae; Streptophyta; Magnoliopsida; Brassicales; Brassicaceae.